CCAGGGUUGAUAGCCUGGUUCCAGUGACCUUUCCACAACCUGAAGUUGCUGCGCCGAAUCCUGUGUCGGAGCAGAUUCCUUCUACGUCCGGAGUUUCGGUCCCUUCACCCGGAGGCAGAUCUGGAAGGCAAGGAGUGCCCGCAGCACCUAUGGCUCCUGGUGGACGACAAUUAAUGCCGCUGAUUCAGGCUUCGGUUUCCCCUGCAACUUGGCAGGCGCAUGGCGCAGUAGGUCCGACGGUGUGGAUGGUGGGUCAUUCCUACAUUUUCUGGGCAGCGCAGAGAGCCGAAUGUCGACCCGGCGGGAGAUCCCUGGGCUUCAGUGAUGUGAGAGUGUCGUGGAGGGGGAUCCGGGGCCUCAGAUGGUCCCAGCUGUUGUCACAGGUGGUGGAAAUUGGCA
Bufo bufo (common toad) is the source of this 399-nucleotide long non-coding RNA. RefSeq lists it as uncharacterized. NCBI's taxonomy places the organism in Eukaryota, Metazoa, Chordata, Amphibia, Anura, Bufonidae. The transcript is spliced from 3 exons. The record is from RefSeq and is a predicted model, not a curated record.